CUGGCGGCGCGCCUAAGUACAUGCAAGUCGAGCGAGAAAGGUGUAGCAAUACACUUGUAAAGCGGGCGAACGGGUGAGGAAUGCAUGGAUACCUACCUCGAUGGGGAAUAACUAGCCGAAAGGUUAGCUAAUACCGCAUACGUUUCCGGAACUUCGGUUUCGGAAAGAAAGCAAUACCGUGGGUAUUGCGCUCCUGGAUGGGCUCAUGUCCUAUCAGCUUGUUGGUGAGGUAACGGCUCACCAAGGCUUCGACGGGUAGCUGGUCUGAGAGGACGAUCAGCCACACUGGGACUGAGAUACGGCCCAGACUCCUACGGGAGGCAGCAGUGGGGAAUAUUGGACAAUGGGGGCAACCCUGAUCCAGCAAUGCCGCGUGAGUGAUGAAGGCCUUAGGGUUGUAAGGCUCUUUUGCCAGGGAAGAUGAUGACUGUACCUGGAGAAUAAGCCCCGGCUAACUUCGUG
Molecule: ribosomal RNA, 462 nt
Filed under: uncultured bacterium
Lineage: Bacteria
Description: bacterial SSU rRNA
Rfam family: Bacterial small subunit ribosomal RNA
Source: RNAcentral